RNAcentral lists this long non-coding RNA (38707 nucleotides) under Solanum tuberosum (potato). RNAcentral's name for it is "long non-coding RNA (STUB_LNC007733)". The record is from RNAcentral. Lineage: Eukaryota; Viridiplantae; Streptophyta; Magnoliopsida; Solanales; Solanaceae.
GUUUUGUGUUUCAUAAAACAAUUUCAAAGAUUUUUGCCAACAAAGAGGAACAGAAGAAUGAAGGAAAUAAAAAAGGAUGUUCGGUCCUCAAUUAGAGGUAUUAUCGAUAAAAGAUUGAAGGCAAUGGAAGCUGGGAACGCGGAUAAUGAGGAUCUAUUGGGCAUAUUGCUGGAAUCGAAUUUUAAAGAAAUUGAACUGCACGGAAAUAAGGACUUUGGAAUGAGCAUUGAAGAAGUCAUUGAAGAAUGCAAGCUAUUCUAUUUUGCUGGCGCAGAAACUACAUCAGUGUGGAUUCUGUGGACUCUGGUGUUGUUGAGCAGAUAUCCAGAUUGGCAGGCACGGGCCAGAGAAGAAGUCUUGCAAGUGUUUGGGAGUCGGAAACCAGAUUUUGAUGGCUUAAAUCAUCUAAAAGUUGUAAGUAUUCUUGUUGUUUGGUUCAAUUUCUAUGCCAUGGGUACUCUCGUUGUUAUUUCUACAAGCACGUGUGAAUUUCUUUUGAUUAUCUCGUUCAUGGUUGCUUAACUGAUAGAGGAGCAUUUCUGUUACAGGUGUGAAUUUCUUUUGAUUAUCUCGUUCAUGCUUGCUUAACUGAUAGAGGAGCAUUUCUGUUACAGGUAACGAUGAUCUUGUACGAGUCGUUAAGGCUAUAUUCCCCAAUAACAGUACUUGCCCGACGAAUUUAUGAAGACAUUACGCUAGGAGAAGUAUCUCUACCAACUGGUGUGCUAGUCUCAUUGCCAAUUAUCUUAUUGCAUCAUGAUAAAGAUAUAUGGGGUGAAGAUGCAAACAAGUUCAAUCCAGAGAGAUUUAGAGAAGGAAUAUCAAGUGCAACAAAGGGUCAAGUUACAUAUUUUCCAUUUGCUUGGGGUCCAAGAAUAUGCAUUGGACAAAAUUUUGCCAUGUUAGAGGCAAAGAUGACUGUGUGUAUGAUCCUACAAAGCUUCUUUUUUGAAUUGUCUCCAUCCUACACACAUGCUCCUCAGUCCUUGGUAACCACUCAGCCUCAGUAUGGUGCUCCACUUAUUUUCCACAAACUAUAAUUUCAUAUUCUGUGAAGAGUUCAUUCAGACUCGAUUCAUGGGUGGAGUUACAAUAUUAAAUAUGGGUUCAGAAACAGUUUCUCUAUUUCAUAAAGAUAGGGGAUUAUGUGGUGUACUCUCCACUCUCCCCUGACCCUCACAUUGGGUAUGUUGUUUUUGUUGUUCAGACAAACUCAGUAGUUUUGGUUUAAAUCUUGCAUUUGUUUCGGGAAAUCCAUUAAAAAUACUAUACAUGGGAAUCCGUGCUAGCACGAGCCUAAUAUAUGUUGCUCUCUUAAUAUCAAAUUAUGUGAUAUAGUUGAAAUUUGGAGAAGUACCCCUAUUUUUUAUAUGGUUGUUAAAUAUUUUAAGCUGUCUACAUUAUUAUGUUUCAAUAAUUUUUAAAAUAUUCACCGAACUAUUUUUUCAAUUACUAAUUCUUUGUGAAAAUAAUAAGAAAAUACUCUCUUCCAAGACACUAAUCAUUUUUGACUUUGUCGAUUUCUUUUGCCUUUUCAUAAAAUAAAAUAGAUACAUAUUUUCCAUACGUAGUAGAUUCAAAUCGAAAAAUCAAAUCUAAAUAAUUUUGAUUCUCACAUUAAUAAACUGAAAAUCAAAUUGAAUAAAUAGAACUCGAUGUCAGCCGCUAAAAUUAAUAAGAUGAGGAAAAAAAGUGAAUGAUUUUGAUUUACAUGCGAUGAUUUUUUCAGUGGCAGGCUAAGUGUACGACUAUUGUACAUUGCUGGGAUGUGUGGAGGGUGGGGAUUCAAUCUAUGUUUUUUAGGAUUAUAAUUACAAAAAAGUCCUCAGAUAUUUGCCUUUGCUCAUCAAUGUCUUAAUUUCCCACAAACAUGGUAGAUAUAAAUAUAUAGUAGUAAUUUAUAUGCACACAUAAAUUUAAUUCAAACAAAAUGGACAAAAUUCAAAUAUUAGUAACAAUAUGUUGUUGUGUCAUAGCAGUUGCUCUGUUUGUGUGUCUAUGGAAAGUACUAAAUUGGGUUUGGUUCAGACCAAAGAAGUUGGAGAAAUUGUUGAGGAAACAAGGGCUAAAAGGGAAUUCAUACAGAAUAUUGUAUGGUGAUAUGAAAGAUUUUUCUGGGAUGAUUAAAGAAGCAAAUUCAAAGCCUAUGAAUAUUUCUAAUGAUGAUUUAUCCCCAAGAUUGGUGCCUUUCUUUCUUGAAAUCAUCAAGAAAUAUGGUAAGUUUUCGAACUCUGAUAACGGGUAAAGUUGUUGGCAUGUGAUUAGGAAGUUGUAGAUUCUAGCUGUGGAAACAGUCUCUUGCAGAAAUGUAGGAGCUUAGUGCAAACCCAUAGCUAAUAUUGUAGCUCCGCAAUCAUCAAGUAACUUAGAUAAGGAGUUUAAUUAUACAAUCAGGUUACUUAUUCUACAAUUACAAGCAAAUUUCCUGGUAAAUAUUAGUAACUGAUAGAAAACUAAAAAUAAAGUAGGGGUGGCAAAAUCAAACGCAACCCAUCCAAUUCGUUUAAGUUGACCCGCUCAUUCAUGAAGUUAAUGAGUUUUGAACUUGACAUCCAUAGCCCUUUUUUAGUUAUUGAGCAACUCUUGAAGUUGAUGUCAUGUAAUAAGAAAAUCACGGGGUUCAAGUCGUAGAACCAACCUUAUGUAGACGUGCACUUUCCGUAGAAAUGUGGGUAACCUUGCUUACAAUAGACUCUUGUAGUUCGUUCCUUUACACACCUGUGCAUAGCAGGAGCUUUAGUGGAUCGGACUACCUUAUACUAACUACUAAUCAGUGAUAUAAUGAUACAAGUAGUUAGAUUAGAUUCAUUAAUUUGUUAUCCAUUCACAAAUCUCUCAUUCAUUUUCACACACAGAGUUAGGAUUUGAAGUUCAAGCUUUUUGAACUUGAAGUUGUACCCAUAGUUCUCUUUAGUUACAAGGUUUGCAAUUAAAUAUCUAUACAUAUUUAUUGAACUUCCUAAUACAAAUAAGCAGUUUAGCUAGAAGCUCCUUGGUGUAUGCAGUUUGUUUCAACUUUUUUUCGAAUUCGAUGAAAUUGUAAUGAGCCUGUUCUCCUGGUUUGUUUAUCUUCUAAAGAACACUCUGUUCAUUUCGUUCUCUUCGAUUGUAUAGAUGUUUUAUUUCGAAAUUUGUACUAGUUGUAGUUAAUCAUGAGACAUAUACAUGUUUGCAGGGAAAAAAUGUUUUACAUGGAUGGGUCCAAGACCACAAAUACUAAUCAUGGAUCCUGAGCUUAUAAAGGAAGUACUCUCGAAAACCUAUGUUUAUCAAAAGCCUCAUGCAAAUCCAUUAGGCACAUUAUUUGUGCAAGGAUUAGUAACCUAUGAGAAAGACAAAUGGGCAAAACAUAGAAAAAUCAUCAAUCCCGCGUUCCAUCUAGAGAAGUUAAAGGUUUGUCAUUCGACUUCGUGAUUGGUCAACCAGAAACUAUUAUGUUGGGCAAUUCAUACUCUAUGUGUGCUAUUGCUUCUAUCUCCUUUGAUUUGCCUUCCUUAUGUCAUUUGACUAUUUCGAGUAAUAUGAUAUUUGCUGCCUGACUUGAUGUAGACAAUAGUGGUUCUAUAGGGACGGAUCUCGCCUGGAUCAUGAUUCAAUGUUCUAGAUUGUUCUUCCACCAAUCGAUAAUAUGUUCACUCUUGCUUCUUGUAUGUUCCACAUAUGACUAUAUUGAGUGAUUUCUACUACCUAGCUUGAGUUAGACAAUCAGAGAAUGAUUUUAUGGUUCAAAGAAGUCGAAUCUUGUUUGGAUCAUCAUUUGUCAGGACUCUCUUUGCGUAAGUUCCUUGGCUUGGACAGGGCAUUUAGUCCAUGUUGUUCUUUAUGCAUUCAGAGAGGACUAUGUUCGGUGGAAUAAUUUCUUAGAUAUGUUUACUAGAUGGUGAUGGAAUACGUGUUCCUUAUUCUGUUCAAGUGUUAGUGUUAUUGACAUUUUCCCUCGUUCACUAUUUUCUCGAACAGCAUAUGCUUCCAGCUUUUUACUUGAGCUGUAGUGAGAUGCUGAGUAAAUGGGAAGACGUUGUUCAAGUUGAAGGCUCUCAUGAGAUAGAUGUAUGGCCUCACCUGCAGCAAUUGACUUGUGAUGUGAUCUCUCGGACAGCUUUUGGCAGUAGUUAUGAAGAAGGUAGAAAGAUUUUUGAACUUCAACAGGAACAAACUCAGCAUUUUCUCGAAGUUACACGCUCAGUUUAUAUCCCAGGAUGGAGGUAACUUAAUUCUCCUAAGAAUUUGGAAAUGUAGCUAUUGGAAAUGCAAAUUGAUUAGUUCUAUUUUUUGUGAAUGCAUUUUGGUUUUGUGUUUCAUAAAACAAUUUCAAAGAUUUUUGCCAACAAAGAGGAACAGAAGAAUGAAGGAAAUAAAAAAGGAUGUUCGGUCCUCAAUUAGAGGUAUUAUUGAUAAAAGAUUGAAGGCAAUGGAAGCAGGGAACGCCGAUAAUGAGGAUCUAUUGGGCAUAUUGCUGGAAUCGAAUUUUAAAGAAAUUGAACUGCACGGAAACAAGGACUUUGGAAUGAGUAUCGAAGAAGUCAUUGAAGAAUGCAAGCUAUUCUAUUUUGCUGGUACAGAAACUACAUCAGUGUGGAUUCUGUGGACUCUGGUGUUGUUGAGCAGAUGUCCAGAUUGGCAGGCACGGGCCAGAGAGGAAGUCUUGCAAGUGCUUGGGAGUCGGAAACCAGAUUUUGAUGGAUUAAAUCAUCUAAAAGUUGUAAGUAUUCUUGUUGUUUGGUUCAAUUUCUAUGCCAUGGGUACUCUCGUUGUUAUUUCUACAAGCACGUGUGAAUUUCUUUUGAUUAUCUCGUUCAUGCUUGCUUAACUGAUAGAGGAGCAUUUCUGUUACAGGUAACAAUGAUCUUGUACGAGUCGUUAAGGCUAUAUUCCCCAAUAACAGUACUUACCCGACGAAUUUAUGAAGACAUUACGCUAGGAGAAGUAUCUCUACCAACUGGUGUGCUAGUCUCAUUGCCAAUUAUCUUAUUGCAUCAUGAUAAAGAUAUAUGGGGUGAAGAUGCAAACAAGUUCAAUCCAGAGAGAUUUAGAGAAGGAAUAUCAAGUGCAACAAAGGGUCAAGUUACAUAUUUUCCAUUUGCUUGGGGUCCUAGAAUAUGCAUUGGACAAAAUUUUGCCAUGUUAGAGGCAAAGAUGACUUUGUGUAUGAUCCUACAAAGCUUCUCUUUUGAAUUGUCUCCAUCCUACACACAUGCUCCUCAGUCCUUGGUAACCACUCAGCCUCAGUAUGGUGCUCCACUUAUUUUCCACAAACUAUAAUUUCAUAUUCUGUGAAGAGUUCAUUCAGACUCUAUUCAUGGGUUGAGUUACAAAUAUUAAAUAUGGGUUCAGAAACAGUUUCUCUAUUUCAUAAAGAUAGGGGAUUAUGUGGUGUACUCCCCACUCUCCCCUGACCCUCACAUUGGGUAUGUUGUUUUUGUUGUUCGGACAAACUCAGUAGUUCUGGUUUAAAUCUUGCAUUUAUUUUUGGAAAUCCAUUAAAUAUUUUACACAGGAACCCGUGCUAGCACGAUCCCAAUAUAUGUUGCUCUCUCAAUUUCAAUUUAUGUGACAUAGUUGAAAUUUGGAGAAUUACCCCUAUUUUAUAUGGUUUUUUAAAUAUUUUAGGUUGUCUACAUUAUUAUGUUUCGUAUUGAAUAAUUUUUAAAAUAUUCACUGAACGAUUUUUUCAAUUAUUAAUUCUUUGUGAAAAUAAUAAGAAAAUGCUCUCUUCCAAGACACUAAUCGUUUUUGACUGUCGAUUUCUUUUGCCUUUUCAGAAAAUAAAAUAGACAUAUAUUUUCCAUACACAGUAGAUUCAAAUAGAAAAAUCAAACCUAAAUAAUUUUGAUUCUCACGUUAAUAAAUUGAAAAUCAAAUUGAAUAAAUAAAACUCGAUGUCAGCCUCUAAAAAUAAUAGAUGAAAAAAAGAGUAAAUGAUUUUAUUGAUUGAUAUUAUGCUUUUCUAUUAUUUCAAGAAAGCAAGACGUUUGAACGUAGUUAUGUGUUACAUGCCAUGAUUUUUUUUACUGUUGCACAUUGAUGGGAUGUGUCUGAGGGUGUGGAGAUACAAUCUAUGUUUUUUAGGAUUAUAAUUACAAAAAAGUCCUCAGAUAUUUUCCUUUUGCUCAUCAGUAUCUUAAUUUCCCACAAACAUGGUAGAUAUAAAUAUAUAGUAGUAAUUUAUAUGCACACAUAAAUUUAAUUCAAACAGAAUGGACAAAAUUCAAAUAUUAGUAACAAUAUGUUGUUGUGUCAUAGCAGUUUCUCUGUUUGUGUGUCUAUGGAAAGUACUAAAUUGGGUUUGGUUCAGACCAAAGAAGUUGGAGAAAUUGUUGAGGAAACGCCAAUUUCUUAAUAAUUCAGUAUUUUAGACGAAGAAAAGUUCAUAUGACUUGUAAUAGCGCUAAUUGAAGUUUGAAUUAGUUUACUUUUUAUUAUUUAUUUAAUAGCUAGUUUUAUGAGAUAAAUAUUUUCAUUAAUGCAAAUAGGUAUUUGUAUUUAAAUUAAAGUAUUAUAUAUGUCAGAAAUGUAUUAUCAAGUUAACGAGAUCUUCUAACUUGAAAAUAUAUUAUUUUAAAAUGUCUGAGUUCUUUUUUAAAAAAAAAAAACUCACAACAAAAUGUGAAAAUAUGUGAAUAUAUAAAAUGUAGUUGUUCUCUUCACAUGUUCAUAUGACAUCUAAACAAUUUAACGUAGAAUACACAUGCAAAUCACAUCUGGUUAGAUGACAAGAAAAAUACAAAACAAACAUUGUCUAUAAGGUAAUAUUAGUGAGAUAAGACUAAUUACAUGAUUGAACCUAAUCAAAUUGAAAUAAAUAUAUACAUAAUUGCAUUUAACUAAUAAUUUUUUUUCAUUGACCAUCUUAAUAGGUUUGCGUGAAUACGAGAUAUAUAUGACGAUUCACAUUAAACAUUCACAAAAGAAUCUGCAAUAUUAUUUUUUGCUAACUUAUUAUUCAAAUCUUCGAUUAAAUAAGCAAUUCUAUUUACCAUAACAUAUAUUUUUGAAAUUGGUUAUCACGUGCAACGCAAGGUAGUAUUAGGUUAGCAACGCUUUCAAUCUUCAUUAGCGUAAUCAAGUUGGAACAAAACUAGCCUAUUACAUGAAACUAAUCAAAAUGUCUUUGGUCAUAUUUAUAGGUCCGGUUGAAAAAGAGACGAGCUAACCAUCAGAAUGCAACUUUUGAAGGAAAUACAACUAUUGUGAAAACUUUGAUAUUGAUAAUUAGGAUACAAAUGACUUCAAACUCUUGGAAGGUAUCCGCUAUUUUGGAACAAUGUCAUAAACAAAACCAAAUGUAGCUUCGAGCAAUAUUACAUAUCCGCUUAUUAUUUUGAGCUUUCGCACCACUAAAUGCAUCUAAUUCAAGACAAUUUGUCGGACUAAAUGGAGUAUUAUUUGUAAACAAAUAUUUGGUAACUAAGAAACAUCCAUACAAACAAAUCCCUUAAGACAUAUGCCAUAUAUUGAACAAAGAGAGUGUGCAUGCUUUACUGCUUCACAGUUGUAGGCAUGAACUAAUAUUUAGUAACUAAGAAACAUCCAUACCGACAAAUUCCUUAAAGACAUAUUCCAUAUAUUGAACAAAGCGAGUAUUCAUGCUUUACUGCUUCACAGUUGAACGCAUCAUGAGACUAGGCAACCACGUGCAACGCACGUACGGUGAAUCUAGUAUAUAUAUAUAUAUAUCCCUACUUUUAUACCAAUGACACUCACGUCUAUUGUCUAAUCUAAAUGGUCCUUAAGUUAAGAAGAUGGUCCCAUGCCUAAUCAAACUAGUCCUUUAAUGUAUAGGGGUUGGUUUGUUUUUUAUCCUUAUACUCAUUGACCAAUAUAAAAUUUAAAUAAAUAAGGAAAAAAGAUCUGAUAUAUUCUCAUCUUUGUCAUUUAGAAUUGAUAUAAUUUUUGUUAUAAAAGCAACUCACAUAUAUUUCUACUAUUACACAAAUGACUCACAUUUACCAUUUUCUUCGUGAGUGAAAGAAUUUAUUUUAAUUUUUAAUUUUUUUAAUUAAAAGAAAUAAUUCAUGUAGGGGUAUAUAUAUAUAAAAUUGGGGUAGAGGAAAUGGGGAGGAGAUUAUAACGUGGGGAGUCGAACCCACACCAAUAAGAUGGGAGUUCAAAUAGUCAAUCAACGUAGGGAUAUAUUUGAUCCUUCUCAUUCGUAUUUUUUUUAUUCAACAACUUUUGCAUUAAAGGACUAGUUUGAUUAGACAUGGGACCAUCUUCUUAACUUCAUGGGUUAAAACACACAAAAAAAAUGUGGAGAACAGGAUUGCAAAGUGGACAAGUAAAAGUGAAACGAGUCAUUAGAAAAUAAAAGAAAAUCCGAGCCAUUCUUGUUAUCUUAGGAUAUAUAAUUACGAAAAAAACCUCAGAUAUUUGUAUAAAUAAGUAAUAGGAACACAUAAAUUUAACUCAAACAAAAUGGAAAAAAUUCAAAUAUUAGUAACAGUAUGUUGUUCUGCCAUAGCAAUUACUCUGUUUGUGUGUCUAUGGAAAGUACUGAAUUGGGUUUGGUUCAGACCAAAGAAGUUGGAGAAAUUGUUGAGGAAACAAGGGCUAAAAGGUAAUUCAUACAGAUUAUUGUAUGGAGACAUGAAAGAUCUUUCUGGGAUGAUUAAGGAAGCUAAUUCUAAGCCCAUGAAUUUGUCUGAUGAUAUAACUCCAAGAUUGGUGCCUUUCUUUCUUGAAACCAUCAAGAAAUAUGGUAUGUACUAAAUGUCCUUUUUUUUUUGUUUAUUUAGAGAAUGAUUUGUUAUGCUUUCCUUUGUAUCUGCUUUGAUAUGUUUUUCCUCAAGUCAGAGGUCUAUCAGAAAUAAUCUCUAACCCAAGGCAGGGUAAGGUGUGCACAUGCUCUCCUCCAGACCCCACUUGUAGGAUUAUAUAGAGUAUGUUAAAAGAAAAAUAAGUCCCUUUGUGGAAUAGUUGUUUAGUAAUUUUAGGUACUUUUGAGAAAACUGAAGAUCUUAUAAGAAAACGUUAGAUCAUGCUCUAAAGUUUUGUACAUUAAUGCAAAUGUUAGAAGUCAAUUUCAUGUUUUGUCUGUAAGAUUAGGUAAUUUAUAAGCAAAACAUGUAUGGAGUGUACUCAAAGAUGCUUCUUAGGUAGAGGACGGGAAGUAUUUGUUCAAGAGUUGAAGAUAUAUUUUAGUAAAUAAAAACUGUGCUUUCUUUAAUACCUUAAACUUUUAGAUGGGUUGGUCACUCACAACAUGAUGUACGAGUAGGUAGAGGUUGUUACAGUGUCUAGUGGGUCAAAGUCCCACAUUGGUUGGGGAAUGGACUGGUGGUCUGCUUAUAUGGACUUGAGUAAUUCUCCUCUCAUGAACUAGCUUUUUGGGUUGAGUUAGACUCAUGUAUUAUAUCGUUAUUGAGGUCUUGGAUUGAGUCUGACGGCCACACACCUAUUAUAAAAAGAAUAUACACGUGAAUCAAACAAUGAUUGUGAUUAAUGAAGGUCUUGGAUUGAGUCCGAUGGCCAUACACCUAGGAGUAUUGUCAAAAAGAAUAUACACGUGAAUCAAACAAUGAUUGUGAUUAAUGAAGGUCUUGGAUUGAGUCCGACGGCCACACACCUAUUAUAAAAAGAAUAUACACAUGAUCAAACAAUGAUUGUGAUUAAUGAAGCUGAUUUAAUUGAGAAUGAUAAUAUAAGCUUUACAUAAUCCAAAUUAAACUUGUCCUUAAUUACAUAUGCUUGCAGGAAAAAAAUCUUUUAUUUGGUUGGGUCCAAAACCACAAGUACUAAUCAUGGACCCGGAGCUUAUAAAGGAAGUAUUCUCGAAAAACUAUUUGUAUCAAAAGCCUUAUGCUAAUCCAUUUGCACCAUUAUUGGUACAAGGACUAGCAACCUAUGAGGAAGACUGUUGUACAUUGCUGGGAUGUGUGGAGGGUGGGGAUUCAAUCUAUGAUUUUUAGGAUUAUAAUUACAAAAAAGUCCUCAGAUAUUUGCCUUUGCUCAUCAAUGUCUUAAUUUCCCACAAACAUGGUAGAUAUAAAUAUAUAGUAGUAAUUUAUAUGCACACAUAAAUUUAAUUCAAACAAAAUGGACAAAAUUCAAAUAUUAGUAACAAUAUGUUGUUGUGUCAUAGCAGUUGCUCUGUUUGUGUGUCUAUGGAAAGUACUAAAUUGGGUUUGGUUCAGACCAAAGAAGUUGGAGAAAUUGUUGAGGAAACAAGGGCUAAAAGGGAAUUCAUACAGAAUAUUGUAUGGUGAUAUGAAAGAUUUUUCUGGGAUGAUUAAAGAAGCUAAUUCAAAGCCUAUGAAUAUUUCUAAUGAUGAUUUAUCCCCAAGAUUGGUGCCUUUCUUUCUUGAAAUCAUCAAGAAAUAUGGUGAGUUUUCGAACUUUGAUAACUGGUAAAGUUGUUGGCAGGAAGUUGUAGAUUCGAGCUGUGGAAACAAUCUCUUGUAGAAAUGCAGGAGCUUAGUGCAAAUCCAUAGCUAAUACUGUAGCUCCGCAAUCAUCAAGUAACUUAGAUAAGGAGUUUAAUUAUACAAUCAGGUUACAUAUUCUGCAAUUACAAGCAAUUUCCUGGUAAAUAUUAGUAACUGAUAGAAAACUAAAAAUAAAGUAGGGGUGGCCAAAAUCAAACGCAACCCGUCCAAUUCGUUUAAGUUGACCCGCUCAUUUAUGAGUUCAAUCUAACCAAUUUCAACCCGCUAAAAGUUUGGGUUUAUAUGUAACCGAAGUGGUCUCACGGGAAAUCUUGUCAAAAAAAUUUAAAAUUCUUUUUUUUCAAUUUAAUUGUAUUAUAUAGCCAUAAAUCAUAAUAAAGAAAAAUAAUAAUUUUAUUAGGUGCUAAAAUAUUUUAAAAGACAGAGUAAAACAAUUAAAGUUAGUAAAAAUUGAGUUUGAUUGGAUCUUCACCCGUUAUAUGACCCAUUAUCUAAUCCAUUUUAACCCAAGCAAAUUUGGAUUGGGUUGGGGCUUCACCCGAUUGUUGUCUUUUAAGACAAAAUGGCACAACAUAACACCAUAUAGACUUAAUUAGCAAUAAAUAACCCACUUUUAAUUUUUUAGCAAAAAAAAAACUUUGUUUUAUUUAUUUGGCAUUGAAUAGUUAUUUUUCUUUUUCUUAAAAAAAUGUAUUUUUGUUCUCCUUUUUUUUUUUCUCAAACACACCUUUGAUUGCUGCUUUUUUUUUUUGAAAAGAAAAAAAAUAUUAUUUUAUUAUCCCUAUUUUAUCUCUUUGUUUCUUUUGUCAACCGGUUUAAAAUAGAGUUCUUCUCUUUUUUGUCUCCUUUUUCUCUUUCUAAAAUUCUUUUCAUACGUAUAUUUGAUUCUCUCCCUAACUUUCAAUUCUUCUCCUUAAUUCAAUUUGUUUAUGAAAAUCAGAUAUAACAAUAUGUUUUUUCAUGGAUACUUCUACAAAUCAUCUUUAUAUAUAAUCUUGUUCUUGUCCAAUUAAUUGUUUGUCACGACCCAAAAAUGGACGUGAUGACACUCAUCUUAUCCCACCAAAACAGGUCAGCCCUAAACUCAACCAUUACAAUAAAAUGCAGAAAUUUCAUAAUCAACUCAAAAAUACCCCAAAAUCUGAUUGUCACGUGUACAAGCCUCUAAAGUAUUACAAUUGAUUCAAAAGAAAAACACAAGUCUCAAAUGACCUUGUUUCUAGAAUAGAACGAGAUCAUAAAUAGGAGUAAGAAGGUCUGCUGAGAUUACAAACAGCUACCUCACAAAUCUCCAAGAAGCCUCGGAAAAUAAGAGAAUGGAAAGUAUCACAAAAUCCAGGCUCGUAACCUACAAAAAAAUUGUAGAAGCAAGGGGUGAGUACCAAACCACACAGUACUUAGCAAGUAAACCUCUAAACACAAGCUAAUGGGAUAGAAUACAGGUACUCCUUAUACCCCACCCGAACCUCCACAACUACAACCUGCAUAAAACCAGCCCAACCUAACUGUUCACAGUUUACAUAUCACCCAGCUCAACAACAAUCACUUUAACAAAUUACAUAUCCUCAACAACAAACUCAAUAUUCAUCAAUCACAACUUUCACAAAAAGGCACUCACAAAUAUCAGCAACACACAAGAUCAAGUUCAUCAAAUAUCAAGUGCUUUCCAACCACCAAUAAAACACAUAAUCAUCAAGAAUGAAAAAUGUCAUGGGAUGCAAUGCAAUAUGACACCAUGAAAUGAUAUGCCUCAAAAUACCAAGUACUCUCUCAACCGUAUAUACAUGAUACUCCUCGAAAAUACAUCAAGAGUUCAUGACCCAUGGGGGACUCGCGAGGUCCAUAUACCGACACGGACGAUCUCCACGUGUCUGUGCGGACGAUCUCAACGCACUAUCAUAAAUCAAGCAAAAUUCGCACGAACGAUCUCCACGUGCCCAAAUUAUAAUUUUAACAUCUCACCAUCCCCAACACGGACGAUCUCCACGUGCCUAACUUAUACUCAAUCACAUGUCAAUGCAUGUGCACAAUAUGAUUUCAAUAAAAAGGAUGAUGCAUCUCAAUCAAAUAUCAAUAUGAUAUGUAAUCACCUCAGCUAUCACCAGUAUACGGGUUCAAUAAAGAACACAAUCACACAUAAUAAAUCAAGUCAAUAAUAUAUCAGUUAAUGCCCAUAUGCUUUGGCAUUCUCGGAUUACAAUCCGCAUUCUAUAGUAAUAAACUUUCCCUUAUAACACCGGUACUCGUACCAAUGCCCGUCACAAACAGUUCUUAACACAUCACACACAAACAAUUAAUCACAUUGCCUUUUAUUACCCUUUUUCAUCAUUAGAAUUAAUCAAUGUGGACAAGUUAAUCCGUCACCAAGUCUCAUUACCCCCAAACACAUAUUACAAGGAAAUACACGAAUUCCAUACACUUAACAAUGGUUUAGAAAUUCACUUGCCUCAAUCAAUUAAGAAUUCACUCCGGAACUUGAGCCUUCCCCUUUCGUUGAACUUCUAACUCAAAGCAAUCUAUUCAAAUAAAUGACCACAAUAAGAUUUCAAAACUAUCAACACUUAUAUUACUAUGUGUCUAGCUUAGACCCAAAACUCACCCGGAUUUAUAAUUAAGUUUCUAAAUCUUGAUUCCAACCAAUAGGUCAAAUCUCAUAUUUCCUGAAUUUCAAGUCUAGGGUUAAAUCAUAAUUUCUCCAAACACUACAACCCUAAUAGUUUUCAUAUAAUAUAAUACACUCAAUAUUUAAUAAUAAUAAUGAUAAAUAAAUAAUUAAAAUAGAACCCAACGUCAAGUUACUAUAUCAGUAACUUAAGUCUAAGAAACUCAAUUUGCAGAUUGUGAAUUCAAUGUCAAAAUACAAGUAAUUAUUAAAUCAUUAGUAAGUAUAGGAUCAUCCAAUCAUUAUCUAAUGAUUACAUCCAUAUGGCAUGAAGGUAUUUGUUUCUCCAAGUAAAAAAAAAUACAUUAGAAUAGGUAUAUCCAUUCCUACUUGCAAUUCAAUUAUACUUACUUUUCACUUGCAACCCCACUUUAAUUCACAAUAACAAUGAUAUGUUCUUACCCAUAUAUACAAAUACAAAAAUUCAGGCAAUGAUGAUGAUUACAUUACCUGAACAGAAGGUCGCUUAAAGUUCUCUUCGUCUCCUUCGGUUACAGAUUUUAGCCGCAACUGAUUAAAUAUAAUACUAAUUACCUUUAACUCUGAAUUAUUUAAUUUUUACAUGGGCUAAGUGGUAUAGGAUAUUACUUAUAUGAGCAACUUCACAUAUAGCAAACAUAAAUUCAUAUUGUAUGCUAUAGCAAAGUUUGCAUAAUGCACUCCACAGCAAACAUAAAUAAUGUAUAUUUCGCUAUACAUAUACAAAAGAAAGCAGUUGUAUAAUCUGUUUUCGUAUACAUAUACAAAAAGAUCAAUUGUAUAAAGUGAGAGAGGCGAGUGAGAGAGCGAGAUCUGGGAGAGUGGCGAGCGAGAUUUGGUAGAGGGGAGAGAGGGGAACGGAAAUAUAUGUAUAUAUACAAUUUUCACGCAUUUUAUACAUUUGCGUUUUUGUAUAAAGUGGGAGAGACGAGUGAGAGAGUUAGAUCUGGGAGAGUGGCGAGCGAGAUUUGGUAGAGGGGAGAGAGGGGAACGGAAAUAUAUGUAUAUAUACAAUUUUCACGCAUUUGAUACAUUUGCGUUUUUGUAUAAAGUGAGAGAGCGAGAUCUGGGAGAGUGGCGAGCGAGAGCUGGGAGAGGGGAGAGAGGGGAACGAAAAUAUAUGUAUAUAUACAAUUUUCUCUCGCUUUAUACAAACACAAACGCACUUUAUACACUUGCGUUUGUAUAAAAAACAAGAGAUCGAGGGAGAGAAUGAGAGUGGCGAGCAAGAUUCACCAGGAGAGAGGUGAAAUAACAACAGUUUGCUAUGAGGUACAAUUAAAUCAAACUAUAUUUAUAGCAUUUAAUUUGAAUUAAUAGUUUGCUAUUAUAUACAAUUUUCCCUUAAAUAUAUUACUAGCUACCUAUUAUAUUAUAUGUGUGUGUGCAUUCACAUAUAGUAGGGGAGUAAUAUAUAUAUUUUUGGUGAAGGACCUUUGCACAUGCAACAUUGUCUGGUAGAAGACUCCAAGAAAGCCCUCCAUUCACCCACCCAACCACCCCCCACCAAGAGAGGAAAAAAUAAUAUGUUUAAUUAGUCAUAGUAAUAAAUAAUAACUAAUUAUUUUUUAAAUAUGGUACGAACCAUCUCUUCAGGUUGAGAGCGGUAUAGAAUAACUAACUAUUCUCCUUGUUCCACUUUAAUUUGGUCACGUAUGUUCUAUUCAAGUAAUAGUUAGGCAGUAUUUAAGAUUUUUCAAUUCAACCUUUUUUUUUCUUUCUAAAAUCCUUUUCAUAUGUAUAUUUUCUUCUCUUCUAAAUUUUCUCUUAUUCUCCUUAAUUCACCCUGUCUAUGCAAAUCAGCUAUAACUGUAUGUUUAUCGAUUUAUCCUUCCAAUAAUUUCUUUUAAUAUAUAAUUAUGUAGUAUUUCUUGCCCCAUUAAUUUUGAAAUUUUGUGAUUUGUGGAACUAAAGGUUUUAAAACUUUUUUUGGCGAAAAUUCAAAUAAUAGUUUUUUGAAAUUUUUGUUCUCAAUUUCAUGGGUGAGAAAGAUUCUCGUAAGAUCCUUGUAAAAAAUCAAAAUGUUGAUGUUGAUGAAUACAACCCAAUGUAUACCAAUGAAUACCAAUCUCAAUUUAAAUUAAAGUAUACAAGUUUAUUAUGUGAAUAAAAAUCACUGAAUACACAGAUGAAUACGAACUAAUGUAUACAUAGUGCAGUUACCGUAUACAUAAACAAAAUCAUAUGUAUAUUAAUGAAUAAAAUUUAAUUUAUAUAUGUAUCAUAUUAAUCUCAUUGUUGUAUUCAUUAUAGUAAUACGUAUAAUUGAUGGUAAUAUUAUUUUAUAUAUACAAUAUAAAGUUUAUGUAUACAUGCUACAAUUACUGUUAUACAUCAAUAAAAUUUACACGUUUAUUUUUAUGAAUUAUUUUUUGUGUAUACAUUAUUUUUUAUGUAUACAUUAUGUAAUCGCAACUUUAAUUAUUGUAUAAUUUAUGCAUAUGUGUUAUUACAGUUUCUAAUAAAAUGCCAUUUAAUAUUAUUUGAUUAAUUAUUGUUGAUUAUGUGAUAAUUAAUACACGUUAGAGCAUUAAUAAUACAUCUUUUAAUAAGUUAUUUAAAGAAUUUUAAAAAAUUUAUUCCUUAAAAGUUGGUGUAAACCUUUUUUUAAUGGGUUAAUUAAUAAAUAUAUAUAUUUCACUUCUUAAAAAUAGGUAUUCGGUUUUCUAAUAAACUAAUUAUUGUUGAUUGGUAAAAAAAAACAAUUCAUAAAAUUACAAUCAAAUAUAUCUUUAUGUUUAUGUAAAUUGUGUUAAUAUUUUUUUAAAUAAACAGUUAAAUAAAGUUGAGUUUGAGAAUUUAAAGAAAUUGAAAAGCUAACUUCCUUAAUUAUAGGAGUUAAAAACAAGGAAGAAAAAAUAAUCCCACAUUUCCUUAAUUUAUGAGGGUUGGUUGCACAUGAUUAAAAGGAAAAAAACUAUAAAAAGUUGGUUUUAUUUCUUUUAGGUUAAUACGUGCUAAUUUUUUUAAGACUUUUAAUUGCUAAUUAAUAUUGGGCUAUAUGUUGCCAAUUGUAUAUAAUAGUUGUAUGUCUGUUCAAUUCCUCGUCUUUUAACUCAUUAUGACCCAUCCAAAUUUGACCCAACUCGCCCAAUUGCCACCACUGAAAUAAGGUAACUGAUUUGUUAUUGUAAAAUUAAAAUGCACCAACUUUUACACUUUGAAUUUUCUAGUGAAUCAAUCAGGUGAGUUUUGUUUUGGUGGAAUCAAUUCAAUAAAAGAAAAGAAGAAAUUCAAGUCAGUUGAUUUAAUAGUUGUGUCUGUUGAUAUCCACAUACUCAGUGUAGUCCCACAAGCGAGGUAUGUGGAGAGGGUACAAUGUAAACACAUACCUUUGCAGGCUAGAGAGGUUGUUUCUGAUAGACCCUCAGCUCAAAAGAGAGGAUAUUUGAAGCACGAUUGCAACACCUGUUGAUUGUGUGUGUAUAUAACUUAAAUCCAUUCACAAAUCCCUCAUUCAUUUCCUGUAUUGAAAUCACCUUUUCUGGUAGGAAACUUUUGCUUGUUGUCUGUAGUUUGUUUUGAUUUUCUUCGAAUUCGAUGAAGUUGUAAUGAACCUGUUCUCCUGACUUGUUUAUGUUCUAAAGAUCUCUCUGUUCAUUUCGUUCUCUUUGGUUGUAAAAAUGAGACAUAUAUAUGUUUGCAGGGAAAAAAUCUUUUAUAUGGAUGGGUCCAAGACCACAAGUAUUUAUCAUGGACCCUGAGCUUAUAAAGGAAGUAUUCUCCAAAAUCUCUGUGUAUCAAAAGCCUGGUACAAAUCCAUUAAGCGCCUUAUUGGUUCGAGGACUAACAACCUAUGAGGAAGACAAAUGGGCCAAACAUAGAAAAAUCAUCAAUCCCGCGUUCCAUCUAGAGAAGUUAAAGGUUUGUUAUUCAACUCACAAUUGGUCAACCAAAAACUAUUAUGUUGGGCAAUGCUUAAUUAACGAUGGAUGAAAUGUGUGCUCUUGCUGGCUAUGUCUUUCCAUCUCCUCUGAUUUGCAUUCCUUAUCGUUCAAUCUAAAUGUUUAUGUGAUAUGACUAUUUCGAGUAAUAUCUGCUAUCUGACUUGAAGUAGACAACUAUAUGGUUCUAUCUGCGCAUGUAUUCCACAUAUGACUAUAUGGAGUGAUUUCUGCUGCCUAGCUUUAGUUAGACAAUCAGAGAAUGAUUUUAUGGUUCAAAAAAGUCGAAUCAUAUCUGAAUCAUCAUUUAUCAGGACUCUCUUUGUGUAAGUUCCUUGGCUUGGACAGGGCAUUUAGUCCAUAUUGCUCUUUUAUGCAUUCAGAGAGGCCUAUGCUCGGUGGAAUAAUUUCUUAGAUGUAUUUACAACCAAAUGGAUCUGUUUAUUCCUGAACUUGUUUCACCUUAAUUGUUAUAUGAACGAUCUUUCUUUUCAUGUAACCAGCAACUUGUACUAGAUGGUGAUGCAUCGAUAUAUAUUUUCCUAAUUCUGUUCAAGUGUUAGUGUCAUUGACGUUUUUCUUCGUUCAGCAUAUGCUUCCAGCUCUUUACUUGAGCUGUAGUGAGAUGCUGAGCAAAUGGGAAGACGUUGUUCAAGUUGAAGGCUCUCAUGAGAUAGAUGUAUGGCCUCACUUGCAGCAAUUGACUUGUGAUGUGAUCUCUCGGGCUGCUUUUGGCAGUAGUUAUGAAGAAGGUAGAAAGAUUUUUGAACUUCAACAAGAACAAGUUCAGCAUGUAAUCGAAGCUGUACGCACAGUUUAUAUCCCAGGAUGGAGGUAAAUUAAUUCUCCUAAGAAUUUGGAAAAUGUAGUUAUUGGAAAUGCAAAUUGAUUGGUUUUCUGUUUUGUGAAAGAUUUUUGCCAACAAAGAAGAACAGAAGAAUGAAAGGAAAAUAAAAAAGGAUGUUCAGUCCUCAAUUAGAGGUAUUAUCGAUAAAAGAUUGAAGGCAAUGGAAGCUGGGGAUGCCGAUAAUGAGGAUCUAUUGGGCAUAUUGCUGGAAUCGAAUUUUAAAGAAAUUGAACAGCAUGGAAACAAACACUUUGGAAUGAGCAUUGAAGAAGUUAUUGAAGAAUGCAAGCUAUUCUAUUUAGCUGGCGCAGAAACUACAUCAGCAUGGCUCCUAUGGACUAUGGUGUUGUUGAGCAGAUAUCAGGAUUGGCAGGCACGGGCCAGAGAAGAAGUCUUGCAAGUGUUUGGGAGUCGGAAACCAGAUGUUGAUGGAUUAAAUCGUCUAAAAGUUGUAAGUAUUCUAGUUUUGUUGGUUCAAUAUAUCAGCAUGGCUCCUAUGGACUAUGGUGUUGUAUUGAUCGAGUGCUUGAAUUUUAAAAGACUGGAGCUUUGAUACUAGACUAGAAGAUGCCAAUUGCCAUGGUUUCCUUAGGAAGGGGCAACUCUUCUACAAGCACGUGUAAAUUUCUUUUGAUUAUCGGUAGUGUGAGACUUGAACGUAGGAUUUCUGCUUGCUUUGACAUCACGUUGAAUUGUGUGACUAUCUCAUCUAUUAGAGAAUUAUGUCUUCUAUAGCGGAAAUAAUCUCAUUUUCGUAACUUCUCUUUAUGUUGGUUACAAGCAAGAGUAUUACUCCAUUCAUAGGAAGUCAGCAAGAAGCCCCAUAACUUGAGGAUAAGGGGUGCCUCCUCACAAAGGGGGCCGCAUUAACCAGGCCUGUGCAACCGUUUACAAGAACUUAGGUCCCCACAAAGUUGUAAUUAGACCAUGUGUGGGGUCUUACGCCUGCUUAGUGCCAUAAGGUCAACUAAGUUGGUGACCUGAUGACAGGGGAGCCAGAAAUUUAAGUAACUUUUUACAGGUCUCGUUCAUGCUUAUAUAACUGAUGGAGGAGCAUAAGUUUUUUGCAGGUAACGAUGAUAUUGUACGAGUUAUUAAGGCUAUAUUCCCCUACAACAGCACUUAUCCGACGGGUUUAUGAAGACAUUACACUAGGAGAAGUUUCUCUACCAGCUGGUGUGCUAGUCUCAUUGCCAAUGAUCUUAUUGCAUCAUGAUAAAGAGAUAUGGGGUGAAGAUGCAAACAAGUUCAAUCCAGAGAGAUUUAGAGAAGGAAUAUCAAGUGCAACAAAGGGUCAAGUUACAUAUUUUCCAUUUUCUUGGGGUCCAAGAAUAUGCAUUGGACAAAAUUUUGCCAUGUUAGAAGCAAAGAUGACUCUGUGUAUGAUCCUACAAAGCUUCUCUUUUGAAUUGUCUCCAUCCUACACACAUGCUCCUCAGUCCUUGGUAACCACUCAGCCUCAGUAUGGUGCUCCACUUAUUUUCCACAAACUAUAAUUUGAUAUUUUGUGAGAGCUGUCUUGUAAUUUAAUAAAGUUUAUUCAAACUUGUUUAGGGGUGUAGUUACAACUAUAGAUACGGGUUAAGAAAUAACCUUUCUACCUCACAAGAAUAGGUAAGAUCUACUUAAACCUUAUGCUCACAAACUCCACUUGUAGAAUGUUUGGACGAAUUCAGUAACUCUUGUUUAAAUCUUGUAUUUGUAUCAAGAAAUCCAAUAAAUUUAUAUAUAAAUAUAUCAAGAAAUCCAUUAAAGAUAAUUGUUUCACUAAUGGCAUGGAAAAAAGUGUUAAACUUAAUAAUUUGUUUUGAAAAUUUUGUUAGAAUUAGGAUUUCAGACUAAAUUGACCACAUUUUUAUUUAUAGGGGAAAAGGCUUGAUGUAUAUCUCAUAUUUGCUAUUUAGAGCUGAUAUAACAUUUAUUAUAAAAGUGGCUCAUAUAUAUAUAUAUAUAUAUAUGAAUGGCACACAUGUCUAUUGUCUAAUCUAAAUGGUCCUUAAGUUAAGAAGAUGGUCCCAUGCCUAAUCAAACUAGUCCUUUAAUGUAUAGGGGUUGGUUUGUCUUUUAUUCUUAUACUCAUUGACCAAUAUAAACUUUAAAUAAAUAAGGAAAAAAGAUCUGAUAUAUUUUCAUCUUUGUCAUUUAAAAUUGAUAUAAUUUUCGUUAUAAAAGUGACUCACAUAUAUUUCUACUAUUAUAUAAAUGACUCAAAUAUACCAUUUUCUUCUAAUGUGAGUGAAAACAAUUAUUUUAUUUUUUUUUAAUUAAAAGAAAUAAUUCAUGUUGGGAUAUAUAUAUUUAUAUAUAUAACGUGGGGAAUCGAACCCUCACCAACAAGGUGAGAAUUCAAAUAGUCAAUCAACUAAGCUACUAAACUUCCACAUGUAGGGAUACAUUUGAUCCUUCUCAUUCGUAUUUUGUCUUGUAAUUUAAUAAAGUUUAUUCAAACUUGUUUAGGGGUGUAGUUACAACUAUAGAUACGGGUUAAGAAAUAACCUUUCUACCUCACAAGAAUAGGUAAGAUCUACUUAAACCUUAUGCUCACAAACUCCACUUGUAGAAUGUUUGGACGAAUUCAGUAACUCUUGUUUAAAUCUUGUAUUUGUAUCAAGAAAUCCAAUAAAUUUAUAUAUAAAUAUAUCAAGAAAUCCAUUAAAGAUAAUUGUUUCACUAAUGGCAUGGAAAAAAGUGUUAAACUUAAUAAUUUGUUUUGAAAAUUUUGUUAGAAUUAGGAUUUCAGACUAAAUUGACCACAUUUUUAUUUAUAGGGGAAAAGGCUUGAUGUAUAUCUCAUAUUUGCUAUUUAGAGCUGAUAUAACAUUUAUUAUAAAAGUGGCUCAUAUAUAUAUAUAUAUAUAUAUGAAUGGCACACAUGUCUAUUGUCUAAUCUAAAUGGUCCUUAAGUUAAGAAGAUGGUCCCAUGCCUAAUCAAACUAGUCCUUUAAUGUAUAGGGGUUGGUUUGUCUUUUAUUCUUAUACUCAUUGACCAAUAUAAACUUUAAAUAAAUAAGGAAAAAAGAUCUGAUAUAUUUUCAUCUUUGUCAUUUAAAAUUGAUAUAAUUUUCGUUAUAAAAGUGACUCACAUAUAUUUCUACUAUUAUAUAAAUGACUCAAAUAUACCAUUUUCUUCUAAUGUGAGUGAAAACAAUUAUUUUAUUUUUUUUUAAUUAAAAGAAAUAAUUCAUGUUGGGAUAUAUAUAUUUAUAUAUAUAUAACGUGGGGAAUCGAACCCUCACCAACAAGGUGAGAAUUCAAAUAGUCAAUCAACUAAGCUACUAAACUUCCACAUGUAGGGAUACAUUUGAUCCUUCUCAUUCGUAUUUUUUUUACUCAACAGCUUUUGCAUUAAAGGACUAGUUUGAUUAGACAUGGGACCAUCUUCUUAACGUCCUGGGUUAAAACACACAAAAAAAAUGUGGAGAAGGAUUGCAAAGUGGACAAGUAAAAGUAUCAAAUGCCUUAUGCUAAUCCAUUUGCACCAUUAUUGGUACAAGGACUAGCAACCUAUGAGGAAGACAAAUGGGCCAAACAUAGAAACAUUAUCAAUCCCACUUUCCAUCUAGAGAAGCUAAAGGUUUGUCAUACAGUUCUUCGCUUUUCCUCCUUCAACUUUGUGAUUGGUCAACCAUAAAUUAUUAUGUUCACAAUUUUUAGUCCACGAUGGAUAAAAUGCUGGCUCCUGCUUCUUUGACUACUGCUCCCUCGAAGCCAUUCUAUCUCCUUUGAUUUGCCAUCUUUAUCUUUCAAUCUGAACUUUUAUGUAUUAUGCAUAUGACUAUUUCUAGUAAAUUCAUCAUUUGUCAAGACUCUUCUAUGUAAGUUCAUAGGCUUGGACGGGGCAUUUAGUCUAUGUUUCUCUUCCUUUAUUCAGACAGUAUUACAUUGGUGUAAUAAUGUCUUAGAUAUAUUACAGCAAAAUGAAUCUUUUUUAUAUUAAAGAGAUUUGUAAUAUUGUUGAAUGUGUUUCACCUCAAUUGUUAUUAGAACGCUCUUUCUUCUUGUAAUUGAGACAAGAUAUGGAGAAUAAUGUGUAUAUUCCUCAAAGACUACAAUGAUAUAAAUACAUGCAUAGAGCAAUCUAACUAUGGCAACUAGAUAUUCAGAGCAAUCUAACUAUGGUAACUAGAUAUUCAAAUCCUAGAAAAUCAUCUAUAUUAUCUAUAUUUAUUAUACAACUAUGAUUCUGUAACACUCCCCCUCAAGCUGGAGCAUAUAUAGAUAUUCGUCAUGCCCAGCUUGUUACAAAGAUAAUCAACUCGAGUCCCGUUCAACGCUUUUGUGAACAAAUCAGCUAGUUGCUCUCCUGUCUUCACAUAACCAGUGGAAAUCACAUUUUCCUGAAUCUUCUCAUGAAGAAAAUGGCAGUCGACCUCAAUAUGUUUAGUUUCAUGGUACACCGAAAUUGAGGCAAUAUGAAGAUCAACUUGAUUAUCACACCAAAGUUUUGCUAGUGUAUGAUGCUUUAACCCAAUUUCAGUUAAAAUGUGAUGUAUCCACAUAAUCUCACACGUAGACUGUGACAUAGCUCUGUACUCGGAUUCUACACUAGAUCGAGAUACAACAUUUUGCUUCUUACUUUUCCAUGAUACUAGGUUUCUUCCAACAAAGACACAAUAACAUGUAGUAGACCAUCUAUCAAUUUUGGAUCCAGCCCAGUCAACAUCUGCAAAACACUCAACACGAGUAUGACCGUGUUUGCUAUACAAUACGCCAAGUCCAGGAGCUCCUUUCAAGUAACAUAAAAUAUGUUCCAAAGCUUCCCAAUGUUUAAUCGUAGGUGCAUACAUAAAUUGGCUAACAACACUUACUAUAAAAGUAAUAUCUGGACGAGUCACAGUAAGGUAGUUUAGCUUCCCAACCAACCUUCUAUAUCCCUCUGGAUCAUUAAGAGGAUCGCCAUCAUCUUUCAUAAGAUGCACAUUUGGAACCAUUGGAGUAUUGCAAGGUUUGACAGCCAACUUUCCAGUGUCUGCAAGCAAGUCAAGAAUAUACUUUCUCUGAGACAGAAAAAUUCCCUUCUUGCUUCUAUUUACUUCUACUCCCAAAAAGUAUUUCAACAUGCCUAAUUCAUUCGUAUGAAACCUAGUAUGUAGGAAAGGCUUGAGGGAAGAGAUCCUCACAUAAUCAUUUCCUGUGAUGACAAUGUCAUCAACAUAUACACCAAGAAAGAUAGUUCCAACUAACGAUUGUCGGUAGAAGACCGAGUGUUCACAUCUGCUCAUUUUCAACCAAAAAUCUUGAACUACCUCACUUAAUUUGCCAAACCAACCCCUAGGACUUUGCUUCAAGCCAUACAAAGACUUCUUCAAAUGACAGACUUUCUCAUACUCCCCCUAAGCAACAAAACCAUUUGGUUGCUCCGUAUACACUUCCUCUCGAAGAUCACCAUGAAGGAAUGCAUUCUUGACAUCCAACUGAUUCAGAGGCCAAUUCUCAGAAGCAGCUAGAUAAAUGAAUAAACAGACAGAAUUGAGUUUGGCAACUGGAGAGAAGGUGUCCGAAUAAUCUAUACCAUAUGUUUAAGCAUAGCCUUUAGCCACAAGUCUCCUUAAGCCUUGCUACAGAACCAUUUGGAUUCACUUUAAUUGUAAAGACCCACUUACAUCCCACUGGUUUCUUUCCUUUGGGUAAGUCCACUUAAUCCCAUAUAUGAUUUUCCUCUAAGGCAUGUAUUUCAUCAAGCAUUGCGUCAGACCAUCAGGAUGAUUUAAAGCCUUAUUCACUGUUUUGGGUACAAAGAUAGAGUCUAUAAAGGCAAUCAAAGAUCUAGAUAUGGAGAAUAAGUGACCAUAUGAAACAAAAUUAGCAAUGAAAUAUGUGGAUUUGCAAGUACGUGUACCUUUGCGAAGGGCAAUAGGAAGGUCAAGAUUUUCUGGAGGAUCAGGCAGCAGAACUUGUGCAUGACAAGUAUCAUCAUUCUCUCUUCUCCUUGAGUAGACUUGAACAACUGGUGGUCUUGUUGCCGUAGAUAGAGCAGGUACUAAAAGUAGAAUAGUCGGGUCAUGAUCAACAAAAGAACUGGGAGAUGAAGGAACAACACUUGAUUGUUCUGUCACAACACGAGUGACUUGAUAUACUAACCACUCAUCUUCCUCCCAUGACUUGUAGAAAUGGGAGGUGCAUAAAAGAAUAGUGUAGUCUCUAAAAAUACCACAUCAUUUGAUGUAAGAUAUCUGCCAGUUUCAGUACCAUAACACAAUAUCCUUUCUGAAGACGAGAAUAGGCUAGAAAAACACACUUCAAAGCCUUGGGAUCUAACUUAGUAACAGAUGGUCGAACAUCUCGAACAUAACAUGUGCGUCCAAAUACCUUAGGUUCCACUGGAAAAUAGUGGCUUAUUUGGAAAAAGAACAUUGUAAGGUGUAUUACCGAAAAGCACAGUAGAUGGCAUGCGAUUAAUAAGAAAACAUGCCGUAGAGACCGCAUCUGUCCAAAACUGUUUAGGGACCUUCAUUCGAAACAACAGUGCCUAGGGGUGUUCAUGGUUUGGAUAAAAACCGAUCCAAACCGAAAAACCAAACCAAACCGAUUAAAUGAACCGAUUUAAUUUGGGUUUUGGUUUGGUUUGGUUUUAGAUUGUUAAGAACCGAUAGUAUUUGGUUUGGUUAUGGUUUUGUUCGAAAAAAAUCGAAGAAAUAACCGAACCAAACCAACAAGUUAUAUACAUAAAUUUUAUUAUUAUACAUACAUAAUAUAUUAUAUUCAUAAACAAUUUUAAAGAUUUUAUAUAUGUUUCAUCAAAAUUUAUUUAUANNNNNNNNNNNNNNNNNNNNNNNNNNNNNNNNNNNNNNNNNNNNNNNNNNNNNNNNNNNNNNNNNNNNNNNNNNNNNNNNNNNNNNNNNNNNNNNNNNNNNNNNNNNNNNNNNNNNNNNNNNNNNNNNNNNNNNNNNNNNNNNNNNNNNNNNNNNNNNNNNNNNNNNNNNNNNNCUUCUAGGCCAAUAUAGUGAAUUUUAAAGCUUUAUUGAUAGUAAAUUUAGUGAUUGAAAAUUUAGUAAUUUAAGUCAUUCUAACUAUUUUUCGUUUUGAAUGGAUUGUUGUCACUUUUUUCACGUUUUGAAUGAAUUGUUUCUUUUAUUUUUAUUUAUGGUUAAUAAUCGAAUAACCGAACCAAACCAAACCAAAAUCGAAAACAACCAAACCGAUAAAUAUAUAUUAUAUUUGGUUUGAUUUAGUUUUGAUAAUUUUAAAACCGAUUAAAUUAGUUUGGUUUUGAUUUUGACCAAUAACCGACCCAAACCAAACCGUGAACACUGCUAACAGUGCCUGAGCUGUCUCAAGCAAAUGCCUAUCUUUCCUCUCAGCAACUUCAUUUUGAGAGGGUGUAUCAACACAUGAAGACUGGUGGAGAAUACCUUGUUGUCUUAUAUACGAUCCAAACAAUUCUGACAUGUAUUCUUUGGCGUUAUCACUCCUUAGAAUACGUACCAAAACAUUGAAUUGAGUUUUCACUUCAGCAUGGAAGGCACAAAGUGAGUAAACACUUCAGAGCGACUCUUCAUAAAAUAAAUCCAACUCAUUCGAGAGAAAUCAUCCACAAAAGUGACAAAAUACAUGUUUCCUGUUUUAGAAACCACAGGACAUGGUCCCCAAAUAUUAGAAUGAACUAACUCAAAUGCCGACUCAACCUGCUUAUUAACCCUUGGAGGUAAUGAGAUGCGAUGAUGCUUUGCAAAUCGGCAUGACUCACACUCCAAUGAAUAAAUAUUUUGAAACUAAGGACACAACUUCUUCAACAGAGGCAGAGAAGGAUGACCCAAUCGACAAUGUGCUUCAAAUGGAGACAUGAUAGUAGAGCAUGCAACCAAUCGAGGCUCCCAUUCAUCAAGAAUGUAGAGAUCAUCAGAAAUAUGUCAUUUACCAAUAACCUGAUUCAUCUUAAGAUCCCGAAUCAAACAAUGAUCGGGAAAAAAUGAGAUAUAACAAUUAAGGUCCCUAGUAAGUUUACUGACAUAAAUCAAAUUAAAGGCCAAUUUUGGUAGACUUAAUACAUAAGACAGUGUAAUGGAAGAGAUUGGUUUAACAGUCCCAAAUCCAACACUAUUACAAGUUGAUUCAUCAGCUACAGUAGCCGGAGAGGGUGCUUUAUGUGAUUGAAAGCUAGAAAAAAAUAUUAUGAUUACCCGUCAUAUGAUUUGUCGUACCUGAAUCGAUCACCCAUUUAUUUAGAAAGGUGAGAAGACAUAUUUUAUCUGCCUCAAGAAAGGUAUUAACAGAAGUGGAUUCAUUUUGCUGAACAGAUGCAACAACUGAAGAUCUUUGACUUUUGUAAUCAAUCAUUUUUCCAAAAAUAGUAGAUCUGAAAACUUAACUAGAGUAAAAUUCACACCAACUGAAGCAAUCCAACAAAACUUUCCAGAAUUUGAAGGAGAAAAUGGAGCAGGAACCACAUAUAUAACAACCCAAACCAAUAAAGUUUCACAACAUUCAGCUGCCCCACCGUGGCUACCAAAUAUUACAAAUCUCCCAAACAAAAGUAUUUAUUUUACGAUCAACUAGAUUUAAACCAAACAAACUAAAUGUGUCAGAAUAUUCUACUCCCACAACCAAAUUAUUAUAACUGCUCAAAUAAAACAAACCAGAUCUCCAGCAACAAAAACACCAACAAAUCGAGAAAGAUAAAACCAGGAUGAUGUCAAAUCUAUCUAAAAUCUGAAUAUUUUGAACAACGUACACCAAUUUCUGACUGAAAAUGUUGAGGCGACGAGCAGGCGGUGAUCAAUUCUACCAUGGCGACAGAGCGCGAGAGCGGAGAGGUGGAGGUAGCAGCGUGUGACUCACUCGCUGCCACCCUAAUAUUGGGUGACCCAAAUUGUCGAGUCCUUUUCUUCAACAACCAGAAAAGCUGCGUAAUUUUGGAGCAUAAGAACUGAGUGGCUCUGAUACCAUGUAAUUGCCAAGAUAUGGAGAAUAAUGUGUAUAUUCCUAAAAGAGUACAAUGAUAUAAAUACAUGUAAAGAGCAAUCUAACUAUGUCAACUAGAUAUUCAGAGCAACCUAACUAUGGUAACUAGAUAGUCAGAUCCUAGAAAAUCAUCUAUAUUAUCUAUAUUUAUUAUACAGCUAUGAUUCUGUAACACUUCUAUUAAACUAGAGGGUGAUGGUAUCACUAUAUCUGUAUUACUAAUUCUGUUUCAAGUGUUGUGUCAUUGACAGUUGUUCCCUUACAUCAUUUUCUCAAACAGCAUAUUCUUCCAGCUUUUCACUUGAGUUGUAGUGAGAUGUUGAGCAAAUGGGAAGACGUUGUUCCAGUUGAAGGUUCUUGUGAGAUAGAUGUAUGGCCUCACCUUCAAUAAUUAACUUGUAAUAUAAUCUCUCGUACAGCUUUCGGUAGUAGUUACGAAGAAGGUAGAAAGAUUUUUGAACUUCAAAGGGAACAAGCUCAGCAUUUUAUCGACACUGUACGCUCAGUUAAUAUCCCAGGAUGGAGGUAAAUUAAUUUGCCUGAGAAUCGGAAAAUUGUAGCCAAAGCUAUGUUGUUUGGACUCUUAAAUAAUGAUGGUUGCAUGUUGGAUCCUCCAAAUAUUAGUGCAUUUCUAUAGGAUCCAACAUGCGUGCAAUAACUAUUUUGGAGAGUCCGAACAACAUAGAACCAAAGUUCUCUAUUACAAACUACAAAGCUCAUUAUGAGAUACACGUAGCUUUCACUUCAUCUUUCUUAUCUAAUGCAUUUUGGUUUUCUGUUUUGUUAUACAAUUUCUAAGAUUUUUGCCAACAAAGAGGAACAGAAGAAUGAAGGAAAUAAAAAACGAGGUACGAACCUCAAUUAAAGGUAUUAUCAUUAAAAUAAUGAAGGCAAUGAAAGCAAGGGAUGCCGAUAAUGAGGAUCUAUUAGGCAUAUUGCUUGAAUCAAAUUUUAAAGAAAUUGAACAGCAUGGAAACAAGAGUUUUGGAAUGAGCAUCGAAGAAGUCAUCGAAGAAUGCAAGUUAUUCUAUUUUGCUGGCCAAGAAACUACAUCAGUCUUGCUCGUGUGGACUCUUGUGUUGUUGAGUAGGAAUCAAGAUUGGCAGACACAGGCCAGAGAAGAAGUCUUGCAAGUGUUUGGGAGUCGGAAACCAGAUUUUGAUGGAUUAAAUCAUCUAAAAGUUGUAAGUAUUCUGGUUUUGUUGGUUCAGUUCAUGUGACAUGAGUUCCUUCUCUCAUUGUUAUUACUAUUGCUUGAUUACAUAAAUUUGAAAAGAUUGGAGCUUUGUGAUUCUAAUGUUUGAUUGUGGACUAGAAGAUGCCAUGAUUUCCUAAUUAAAGAGGGGGGGAUGGGCUUUUUUCAAGCACGUGUGAAUUUCUUUUGAUAAUCGUGAGGUGGACAAGAUGAAGGAGGCGAGGCUAAGAUGGUUCGAACAUGUGCACAUGGGGUGUGAGGAGUUGGCAGGGGUGGGUUUAACGAGGGGUAAAAGUAGGCGGAAGAAGUAUUUGGGAGAGGUAAUUAGAUAGGAUAUAGCGCAACUUCAACUUAUUGAGGAUAUGUAGGUCGUGAAUUAGUGUAGAAGGGUAGAAGGUAGUUGAGCAUUGUCUCUCUCCUCUGCAGGGAGGCUUGGUGGGAAUAUAGUACUAGCAUUAUUCGCGAAGUUUCUUGUUCUUUGGUUACCGCUAAUACAUGUUGUUUCUUGUGCUUCACUUAUCACAUUAUUCUGCUUUGGACGAUCAGUUACGUUUUCUCUACUAUUUGCUUUGUCUUAUUUGCUAUGCCCUUCUGCCUCUGUACUGUCUUUUUUCAAACUGUUAUGGUUACUUGAGCCUAGAUUUUUUCGGAAAAAACCUCUCAUUCUCCACGAGGUAGGGGUAGCGUACACUCUACCCUCCCCAAACUCACUUGUGGGAAUACAUUGGGAAUGAAAGUGUGUUGGUUUUGUAAUCAUGGGGUGAGACUAGUUGAACUCAGGAUUUUUGUUCAGUCUGAUACUAUGUUGAAUUGUGUGACCAUCUUAUCUACGAGUUUAAGCUAUUAAAGACUUAUAUGUCUUUAACAAUAGGGUUGAUCUCAUUUCCCGAACUUCUCUCUAUGUUGGUUACGUGCUAGUGGAGUAUUCCACUGAACGAUGGCCAUUCAUGCUAAAGAUAUAACUGAAGGAGAAGCAUUUUUUUUUGCAGGUAACGAUGAUCUUGUACGAGUCAUUAAGGCUAUAUUCCCCAUUAAUGACACAUAACUGAAAGGCGAAUGAAGACAUAGUAUUAGGAGAAUUGUGUCUACCAGCUGGUGUACUAGUCUUAUUGCCAAUGAUCUUAUUGCAUCAUGACAAAGAUAUAUGGGGUGAGGAUGCAAACAAGCUCAAUCCAGAGAGAUUCAGAGAAGGAAUAGCAAGUGUAACAAAGGGUCAAGUUGCAUAUUUUCCAUUUUCAUGGGGUCCAAGAAUAUGCAUUGGACAAAAUUUUGCCAUGUUAGAGGCAAAGAUGACUUUGUCUAUGAUCCUACAAAGCUUCUCUUUUGAAUUGUCUCCAUCCUACACGCAUGCUCCUCAAUCCAUAAUUACCACUCAGCCUCAGUAUGGUGCUCCUCUUAUUUUCCAUAAACUAUAAUUUGAUAUUUUGUGAGAUGUGCGUACACCCCACCCUCUCCAGACAAACUCAAUAGCUCUUAUUUAAACCUUGUGUUUGUAUCAGGAAAUCCACUAAAUAUAUACAAAUAGUUCAUUAAUAUCAUGUUGCAAGAGUAGUUAUUUUCACAAUAGAGUAUACAAAUCUUACUACUAUCUCGAGGUAAAGAAAAUGUUAUCAAUAAAUCAGCUCAAGAACCAAUGAGAAGCUUAUUGUUAUGACAAAUUUAGAAAGUACCCUUGGAUAUUCUACAAACAACACAUAAGCUAAAGAAUUUGUGGAAAAAGUUAUUGUUCUUUUGGUAAUAAAAACAUGUGACAUGCUAGUAAGCACAGCCGGCCUUCUUGGCCAAUGAAACCACUACAUGCACUUGUACACAAAUUUUUUUAUUUUUAAAAUUUUGGAUGUCAACAGUUUUUAGUGAAAAAAAUAAUUAAAUAGGUUGAGUAGUUUGGAAGUAAAACUUUUAUAUUAGAAUGAUUUUUGAGUUUAAACUUAAAGUUGAAUGACUUUUUAAGAGAAAAGUUUAUAACUGAGAGAUCUUUAUGAGAUUUUAUUUCGUGAGUUUGUAAGAGAAAAUUUAAAAGUUGAGUGAUUCUAUCAUCUUAAAAUUUAAAACAUUUUUCACCUUACAGAAUAUGUCUCGAGUCUAUACACCAAUUAAUAUUAUAUCGUAUGAAGUGACAAGUAAAAAUGAACAAAAAUGGUAAAAGAUAAACUAAAAUAAAAUCAGAGCCACUCAUGCUGUCUUAAUUACGAAAACACCUCAAGAUAGUUACCUUUUCUCAUCAUUGAUGACGACAUCGUUUGUUAGUUCCCUAGUAGCUAUAAAUGGUAAUUCAUAGUGACACAGAAAUUCAACUCAAACAAAAUGGACAAAAUUCAAAUGAUUGUAACGGUAUGUUGUUCUGCCAUAGCAAUUGCUCUGUUUGUGUGUCUACGGAAAGUACUAAAUUGGGUUUGGUUCAAUCCAAAGAAGUUGGAGAAUUUGUUGAGGAAACAGGGGCUAAAUAGGAAUUCUUUCAAAAUAUUGUAUGGGGAUUUGAAUGAUUAGGGAAGCUACUUCAAAGCCCAUGAAUUUGUCUGAUGAUAUAGCUCCAAGAUUGGUGCCUUUCUUUCUUGAAACCAUCAAGAAAUAUGGUACUCCCUUCGUCCCAUUUUAUGUGAGGUAAUUUGACUCGGCACAGAGUUUAAGAAAGAAAGAAAAACUUUUAAAACUUGUGGUCCAAAAUGAAUGAUAGAAAUUUGUGUGCCUGUAAAUUAUUUCAUUAAAAGGUAAAAUAGACAUUUUUAUAAUUAAAUUGUUACUUAAUAAAGAAAUGUGUCAUUUUUUUUGGACUGACUAAAAAAAAAAGUAAGUCAUAUAAAUUGGGACGGAGGGAGUAUGUACUUUGCUUAUUGGUUUUCUUUGUUCUACUUAAUGUUCCUUAUUUUCUCUAGAGUACCCUUGUAGAAUUAUACCGAGUAUGUUAAAAAGUAACAAAAAGUCCCUUUGUGGAAUAGUUGUUUAGUAAAUGACCAUCUUUUAGUUUCUUUUGCAAUACAUUGACUUUAGAUACUUUUGAGAAAACUGAAGAUCUUAUAAGAAAAAUGUUAUAUGUCUUUCUUUAAUAUCUUAAACUUUUAGAUGAGUUGGUCAAUCAUAAUGUCAUAUAUAAGUAGGUAGAGGUUGUUACAGUGGGUCAUAGUCUACUUAUAUGAACUUGAGCAAUCCUCUUCUCAUGAGCUAGCUUUUGGUUGAGUUAAUCCCAGUGUUAUGUCUUUACACGUUGUAGUUUCAGAGUCAGGUGCAUCCCCGUUUGGGCGUCGGUCCACAUUCCAGUUGGACCUAGGCGUGAUGGAGGUGUUAGAAUAGGUCAAAGUCCCAUAUCGGUUGGGAAUUGGACUAGUGGUCUGCUUAUAUGGCUAUGGGCUUGGAUAAUCCUCUUCUCAUGAUCUAGCUUUUUCUGUUGAGUUAGACUCAGGUGUUAGAUCUUUACAGAGGUCCUGGUUUGAGUCUCACCGCCACACACCUAUUAUCAAAAGGAUAUACACAUGUUUGGUUCUUAAAGUGAAUCAAACAAUGAUUAUGAUUAAUGAAGCUGAUUUAAUUGAGAAUGAUUUGUACUAGUAGUUAAUCCAGAGACAUAUUCUUGCAGGAAAAAAAUGUUUUAUAUGGUUGGGUCCAAAGCCACAAGUAAAAAUCAUGGACCCUGAGCUUAUUAAGGAAGUACUCUCGAAGACCUAUUUGUAUCAAAAGCUUGGUGGAAAUUCAUUUGCAGCAUUAUUGGUACAAGGACUAGCAACCUAUGAAGAAGAUAAAUGGGCCAAACAUCGAAAAAUUAUCAAUCCCGCUUUCCAUCUAGAGAAGCUUAAGGUUGCUUUUCUUCCGCGUCCUCCUUCAAAAUUUGUGAUUGGUCAGCCAUAAAUUAUUAUGUUCGGACACGAUGGAUAAAAUGCUGGCUCUUGCUUCUUUGGCUACUUCUCCCUCUAAGUCUUUCUAUCCCCUUUGAUUUGCUAUCCUUAUCUUUCAAUCUAAAUUUUUAUGUAUUCUACAUAUGACUAUUGCAAGUAAAUCUUGUUAUUUAACUUGAGUUAGACAAGUAUAGAAGGGUAUUAUGGUUUUCAUUGUCAAAUCUCGUACCAUCAUUCAAUGUUCUAGAUUCUUUAUCUUAUUGCAUCAUGAUAAAGAUAUAUGGGGUGAAGAUGCAAACAAGUUUAAUCCAGAGAGAUUUAGAGAAGGAAUAUCAAGUGCAACAAAAGGGUCAAGUCACAUAUUUUCCAUUUGCUUGGGGUCCUAGAAUAUGCAUUGGACAAAAUUUUGCCAUGUUAGAGGCAAAGAUGACUUUGUGUAUGAUCCUACAAAGCUUCUCUUUUGAAUUGUCUCCAUCCUACACACAUGCUCCUCAGUCCUUGGUAACCACUCAGCUUCAGUAUGGUGCUCCACUUAUUUUCCACAAACUAUAAUUUCAUAUUCUGUGAAGAGUUCAUUCAGAAUCGAUUCAUGGGUGGAGUUACAAUAUUAAAUAUGGGUUCAGAAACAGUUUCUCUAUUUCAUAAAGAUAGGGGAUUAUGUGGUGUACUCCCCACUCUCCCCUGAUCCUCAUAUUGGGUAUGUUGUUGUUGUUGUUCGGAUAAACUCAGUAGUUCUGGUUUAAAUCUUGCAUUUGUUUCAGGAAGUUCAUUAAAUAUACUAGACAUGAGAACCCGUGCUAGCAUGGACACAAUACAUGUUGCUCUCUCAGUUUCAAUUUAUGUGACAGUUGGAAUUUAGAGAAUUACCCUUAUUUUUAUAUGGUUUUUAAACAUUUUAUGUUGUCUACAUUAUUAUGUUUACUGUUACAAGUAUUGAAUAAAUUUUAAAAUUGCCAUUGAACGAUUUGUUCAAUAAUUAAUUCUUUGUGAAAAUAAUAAGAAAAUGCUUUCUUCCAAGACAUAAAUCAUUUUUGACUUUGUCGAUUUCUUUUUCCUUUUCAGAAAAUAAAAUAGACAUAUAUUUUUCCUACCUAGUAGAUACAAAUCGAAAAAUCAAACCUAAAUAAUUUUGUUUCUCACAUUAAUAAACUGGAAAUUGCAUAAAUAAAACUCAAUGUCUGCCUCUAAAAAUAAUAGAUGAGAAAAAAAAAGUAAAUGAUUUUAUUGAUUGAUUUAUAGACCUACUUAUUAUGCUUUUCUAUUAUUUCGAGAAAGAAAGCCAGACGUUUGAAAGUAGAUUUUUUUUUCCAGUGCCCAAGUGUAUGACUGUCUCACAUUGAUGGGAUGUGUCGAAGGGUAGAUGCAGAGUUAGAAUUAAGAGUUUGAGGUUCUAAAUUUUAGAACAGAAGAGAAAAAUAUUGCAAAGCAAUGCUUCCUUUAAAAACAAAGAGACAAUUUUUUGUUGAUAGUGGUGUUUGAACCCACAACAAAUGUGUGAAAGACAUUUUCACCGCCCUUACUUACCAUUGAAUUGUCAAUCAAUUUUGUUAGAGGUUCACAUGAUAUACAUAUAUAUUUAUUUAAUUUUCUAAUACAAAUACAGGCUCUACGGAAAAGCUAGUGGGUUCGUACGAACCCACGAAGCCCCACUUAGCUCCGCCCGUGUCGGAGGAUGGGAUACAAUCUAUGUUUUUUAGGAUUAUAAUUACAAAAAAGUCCUGGAUAUUUGCCUUUGCUCAUCAACGUGUCACGACCCGCCACUUUGCCCUUCAAAUUUGGCAUAAAAAUAAGGGAGAAGAAUCUAGAGUUAUGGAGAUAUUAGUGGAAGACUCUAGAAUUCCCUAAAUAUUUUUCAGAAAGGCUUUAGAAUUCUCUAGACUUGUAGAGAAUUCUAAAUUAGGGACUAAAAUGAUAAUAUGUAGGGACUUGUGUAGUAAAUCUUAUUUAUACUUUGGCCCUUAGAAAAUAGUAUAAAUAGAGGUCUCUUAUUUGUAAGUUAUCCAACAAGUUGUAAAGCAAUCUUCCAAGCUAUAUACAAAGUUUUUAAAAAGCUCUCUUGUCUCUCUUUGAGCUUUCCUAACUUUCCUCUUUCAUUUGCGAUAUUAAGUUUCAAAGGCUUCCUUGAGCUUACAAGAUCGUGAAACGUGAGUAAGUUGACAAGUAUUGCACGGAGCUUUAGUGAGACAUAUAUAGUGGACACACAAAUUUAAUUUAAACAAAAUGGACAAAAUUCAAAUAUUAGUAAUAGUAUGUUAUUGUGGCAUAACUAUAACUCUGUUUGUCUAUGGAAAGUACUGAUGUCACGCCCCGAGCCUACACCCUGGGCGGGACCGGCACUCGAAGACCAUUGCUGGCCCCAAGUGAAUCCUUGGUCUGGCUUACUUAACUCAACAAAAUAACUCCAUGCAGUGAAAGGUCAUAAAACAACCCAACUGAUAAAAUCUUGGCCAAAAAGGAAACUCGAGUCUCAAAAUAGAAUAUUUACAUAUAUACAUAGACGAGAGACUCAAUACUAACUGACUGACUGUCUGUCUAUGAAGCCUCUAACAUACUGAGAUGGAUGUUGGGNNNNNNNNNNNNNNNNNNNNNNNNNNNNNNNNNNNNNNNNNNNNNNNNNNNNNNNNNNNNNNNNNNNNNNNNNNNNNNNNNNNNNNNNNNNNNNNNNNNNGGCAGACCCCGCAACAUCCGAAUAACACAAAACUAAAAGAAAAAAAAUAUCUGAGUCCUCCGAAAAAUAAGGAGGCUCACCACUGACUCUGGAGUGCUCAGCUGGAUCAACGACGUGCUGGAUGCUAAUCCUGGGUACUUGCGUCUGCAUCAUCAUAGAUGCAGGCCAACUGGCAUCAGUACAUUGAAUGUACGAGUAUGCGAGUUGGAAAGCUAAACAACAACUUAAGCUUGAAAGGAGUACAACGGAACACUUACCUUGGCUCUGUUCAACUCAUGAAUAACUGAACUCAAAUGUAAAGCAAUAAGACACAUGCAAUACAUAUAUAAAGCUUGCAACACAGUGUAAACAACUUAGUUCGUUAAUGAUUAAAGCANNNNNNNNNNNNNNNNNNNNNNNNNNNNNNNNNNNNNNNNNNNNNNNNNNNNNNNNNNNNNNNNNNNNNNNNNNNNNNNNNNNNNNNNNNNNNNNNNNNNCCUCUUCAAUUAUUUCGUAUUGCCGGAUGUUACAUGAUCUCAUGUUUAUGAAUGAGUUCGUGACGUCUAGAUGUACCUUAGAGUGUUGAAAACAACUAUAAAACAUAGGUACAUUACCAAGGAACAUGUAUGAAAAAGUGGGGAAGGAAUGGGAAGGAUUGGCGUCCUUGGCGCUCUGAGAGGCGCGGGGCGCCAGACCUCAAAGCUCAGAAGGCCUGGUGGGGCGCUCUGCAUGGCGCGCCGCCUCAAGGGUGGAAGCUUAGAAUCCCUUUUGGGGCGCGCUGGCUGGCGCGACGCCCCAGCCUUUUUCCUCAAAAAUCCGACUUUUCUCCUUUGUUUUUCCAACUCUAAACCUUCGUAACUUCAAAGGUUCCAGCCCCAAACACUUAGAAUCAUAAAAACCCUUAACAUACAAUAGAUUCAACUUGAAAUCACAACCGGAAACAUGCACCAAACCAACAAGAAACUUCAACAACACAACCACAACUUCAACAAACACAACCAAUCUUUUCUCAGAAUUAAACGAGUUUAGCGUGUGGGGGAAAGAACCAACCCAACACUAUGAUCUCACAUACCUUAAUAGGGAUCACCCCCGACGAAAACCACGACGAUCUUGAUGAAUCCUUGCUUCUUCUUCUCUUUCUCCUCUUCUUUCUCUCUUCUCUCAAAAGCCCUAACUCUCACUUUAAAAAGGAAAAACUGAUUUAAAAUCAGUCUAAAACCUUAAUAUAACCAAAAGAAAUGGUUAGGGAAAAGACCAAAAUACCCUUACAAAUUCGGACUAAACUGCCCUGUGCCAACAACCCAACUUCCAAAGGGCAUAACUCACUCAUACGAACUCGGAAUCGAGUAAACUCAGCGGCGUUGGAAAGAUAAUUCCAAGAGAUUUCCAAAAAUAACUGUAAAUUCACCUAACACAUCCUGAUAUAGGAGUUAUGACUGCUCAAAGUUGACCAAAAACUCAUUUUUUCCCAUACUUAACCAAAUUUCCAGAUUUUUGAAUUCUUUCCAAAAUGACUAUUUCAAAUUUCCAGCUUCUUCAUAGUUAUUUCAACUUACACGAUGUUACAACUGAAGUGGGUUUGGUUCAGACCAAAGAAGUUGGAAAAAUUGUUGAGGAAACAAGCGCUAAAAGGUAAUUCAUACCGAAUAUUGUAUGGGGAUGUGAAAGAUUUUUCUAGGAUGAUUAAAGAAGCUAAUUCAAAGACUAUGAAUAUUUCUGAUGAUUAUUUAGCCCCAAGAACAGUGCCUUUCUUUCUUGAAAUCAUCAAGAAAUAUGGUAAGUUUUCGAGCUCUGGUAACUGGUAAAGUUGUUGGCAUGUGAUUAGAAAGUCAUAGAUUCGAGUUGUGAAAAUAGUCUCUUGCAGAAAUGCAUGAGCUUAGUGCUAGCCCAUAGCUAAUAAUGUAGCUCCGCAAUCAUCAAGUGGCUUAGAUAAGGAGUUUAAUUAUACAAUCAGGUUACUUAUUCCACAAUUACAAGAAAUUUUCCUGGUAAAUAUUAGUAACCGGUAGAAAUCUAAAAGUAAAGUAAGGUUGGCAAAAUCAAACCCAACCCAUUUAAGUUUGGACAGGUUAUUGACCCAUCCAUUCAUGAGUUCAACCCACUAUAAGUUUGGGUUAGUAUCCGAAUUGGCUCAUGAGAAAUCUUGUCAAAAUAUUAUUAAUUUUUAUUUUUCAAUUUGAUAGUUUUAUAUAGCCAUAAAUCAUAAUAAAGAAAAAAACAAUUUUAUUAGGGGCUAAAAUAUUUUAAAGACAAGUAAAACAAUUAAUUUUAGUAAAAAUUGGGUUGAGUUGAGUCUUGACCUGUUAUAUAAUUCAUCACCUAACUCAUUUUGACCCAACCCAUUUUAACCCAAGCAAACUUGGGUUGGGUUGGGUUGGAUUGGGUCGGGUCGGGUCUUCAUUCUAUCGUUGUCUUUAACUCAUUAUGGUCUGCCCAAAUUUGACCUAAUCUGCCCAAUUGCCACCCCUAAAAUAAGGGUAACUAAUUUGUUAUUGUAAAAUAAAAAUGCACCUACUUUUACACUUUGAAUUUUAUGUUGAGCCAGUUGAUAUCCACAUGCUCGGAGUGAGGGUAAGGGCUCACCUGUUGAUUGUAUGUACUACAACAUACUUAGUGUAGUCCCACAAAUGAGGUAUGGGGAGAGGGUAAAAUGUAAGUGAAUCCCUUUGCAAGUUGUUUUCGAUAGACCCUCGGCUCAAAAGAGAAGAUAUUUGAAGCACGAUCGCAAUACUUGUUGAUUGUGUGUGUAUAUAACUUAAAUCCAUUCACAAAUCCCUCAUUCAUUUCCUGUAUUGAAAUCACCUUUUCUGAUAGGAAACUUUUGCUUGUUGUCUGUAGUUUGUUUUGACUUUCUUCGAAUUCGAUGAAGUUGUGAUGAACCUGUUCUCCUGAUCACUCUGUUCAUUUCGUUCUCUUCGGUUGUAUACAUUUUUUUAUUUCAAAAUUUGUCCUAGUAGUAGUUAAUCAUGAGACAUAUAUAUGUUUGCAGGGAAAAAAAGUUUUAUAUGGAUGGGUCCAAGACCACAAGUAUUUAUCAUGGAUCUGAGCUUAUAAAAGAAGUAUUCUCCAAAAUCUAUGUGUAUCAAAAGCCUGGUACAAAUCCAUUACGCGCCUUAUUGGUACUAGCAACCUAUGAGGAAGACAAUUGGGCCAAACAUAGAAAAAUCAUCAAUCCCUCCUUCCAUCUAGAGAAGUUAAAGGUUUGUCAUUCAACUUGUGAUUGAUCAAUCAGAAACUAUUAUGUUGGGCAACGAUGGAUGAAAUGUGUGCUCUUGCUGGCUAAGUCUUUCUAUCGCCUCUGAUUUGCAUUCCUUAUCGUUCAAUCUGAACGUUUAUGUCAUAUGACUAAUUCGAGUAAUAUCUGCUAUCUGACUUGAAGUAGACAACUAUAUGGUUCUAUCUGCGUAUGUAUUCCACAUUAUGACUAUAUUGAGUAAUUUCUGCUGCCUAUCUUUAGUUAGACAAUCAGAGAAUGAUUUUAUGGUUCAAAAAAGUCGAAUCAUAUCUGAAUCAUCAUUUAUCAGGACUCUCUUUGCGUAAGUUCCUUGGCUUGGAGUCCAUAUUGCUAUUUUAUGCAUUCAGAGAGGACUAUGCUCGGUGGAAUAAUUUCUUAGAUGUAUUGACGACCAAAUGGAUCUGUUUAUUCCUGACCUUGCUUCACCUUAAUUGUUAUAUGACCGAUCUUUCUUCUGAUUUAACCAGCAACUUGUACUAGAUGGUGAUGCAUCAAUAUAUAUUUUCCUCUCUGUUCAAGUGUUAGUGUCAUUGACAUUUUUCCUUGUUCACUAUUUUCUCGAACAGCAUAUGCUUCCAGCUUUUUACUUGAGCUGUAGUGAGAUGUUGAGCAAAUGGGAAGACGUUGUUCCAGUUGAAGGCUCUCAUGAGAUAGAUGUAUGGCCUCACAUGCAGCAAUUGAGUUGUGAUGUGAUCUCUCGUAUAGCUUUUGGCCGUAGUUAUGAAGAAGGUAGAAAGAUUUUUGAACUUCAAAAGGAACAAGUUCAGCAUUUAAUCGAAGCUGUAUGCACAGUUUAUAUCCCAGGAUGGAGGUAAAUUAAUUUUCCUAAUAAUUUGGAAAAUGUAGCUAUAGGAAAUGCAAAUUGAUUGGUUUUCUGUUUUGUGAAAGAUUUUUGCCAACAAAGAAGAACAGAAGAAUGAAGGAAAUAAAAAGGGAUGUUCAGUCCUCAAUUAGAGGUAUUAUCGAUAAAGAUUGAAGCCAAUGGAAUCUGGGGACGCCAAUAAUGAGGAUCUAUUGGGCAUAUUGCUGGAAUCGAAUUUUAAAGAAAUUGAACAGCAUGGAAACAAACACUUUGGAAUGAGCAUCGAAGAAGUCAUUGAAGAAUGCAAGCUAUUCUAUUUAGCUGGCGCAGAAACUACAUCAGC